Molecule: non-coding RNA, 737 nt
Organism: Danio rerio (zebrafish)
Lineage: Eukaryota; Metazoa; Chordata; Actinopteri; Cypriniformes; Danionidae
Source: RefSeq, a predicted model, not a curated record
UCCCUUUAACAGACCUAACAUUGUUUACUCUCCGCUUCGCUACGUUCCGUGAAUUAUUGUAGCCGUUAAACAUGGCUUGAUCUAAUAUGGGGAAGCUUUAAUAAAAACGUCAGAGCGUUUCGCAAUUUAUGAGUCAUUGCAAUGAUCUAUAACUCUACUCACACCUUGAGACUCCUCGCAAAAUCUACUAGAAGGGCUGAAACACAAAGCCCGGUUCUCCCGGAGCUCAUUACUCUGCUCGCAGCCUUUGUGGACCGGGGGAGAGGCCCGGGGGAAGCGUACAUUCUGUCCAGGCCACUCGGGGUGUGUGCUGUGCGGUUCCAGCAGGUGCCAGGCACGGGGAGAGGCUUCAGUCCUGCGGCGCUGACCCGGGACGCACUCGGCCAGCACUGAUGGAUUCCUCACCGUCUUCUGGCUCCUCCUCCGGGCACAAGCAGGAGCAGGAGUCUCACAUUUAUUUACGAUAAAUCCCCUGAUGGAGCUCCUGGACUCCACUGUCAUACAUCAGCUGUGUUUGAUGUGGGGCUGCUGGUGUCCACGGGUGGGCUGGAGAUGGACUUCCUCACCGCUAGCCAUCAUCAAUCCUGCCGUCGGACCGCAGAUCUGCACCUCUGCCCUCUUGACCACUGUGACGUACAGCCAUCCGUCACGCCAGUCUGGCUCCUGAAAGCCUAUACAUCUUCCCAACUGGUGCUUUUACAUAUAGUACGCCAAAGAUUAAACUGACUGUAAUCGUG